This 1252-nucleotide ribosomal RNA is filed under the name Patescibacteria group bacterium. RNAcentral describes it as "partial 23S ribosomal RNA". It matches the Rfam family "Bacterial large subunit ribosomal RNA", at positions 360 to 1585 of the family's 2925-position model. The record is from RNAcentral.
GAAGGUAACAGCCCUGUAGUCGAAAUGCGACUGACUUCCACGGGAUUCCCCAAGUACCGCAGGACACGUGAAAUCCGGCGGGAAUCCGGGAGGACCAUCUUCCAAGGCUAAAUACUACCCAGCGACCGAUAGUGAACAAGUACCGUGAGGGAAAGGUGAAAAGAACCCCUGCUAGGGGAGUGAAAUAGUACCUGAAACCGUGUCGCCUACAAGCAGUGGGAGCACUAUGGCCUUCGGGCAAUGUGCGACCGCGUACCUUUUGCAUCAUGACCCUGCUAGUUACGCUCCGUGGCAAGGUUAAGCCGCGAGGUGAAGCCGCAGACAAAGCGAGUCCGAAUAGGGCGCUCAGUCGCGGGGCGUAGACCCGAAACCAGGUGAUCUAUCCAUGGCCAGGGUGAAGCGUGGGUAAUACCACGUGGAGGCCCGAACUCACUUAGGUUGAAAACUAAGGGGAUGAGCUGUGGAUGGGAGUGAAAGGCUAAUCAAACCUGGAGAUAGCUGGUUCUCCCCGAAACAUAUUGAGGUAUGGCCUCGUGCGGUCCGCACCGGAGGUAGAGCACUGGAUGGGCUAGGGGUCCUACCAGAUUACCAAACCCAACCAAACUCCGAAUGCCGGUGACAGCAGCACGGGAGACAGACGGCGGGUGAUAAGAUCCGUCGUCGAGAGGGAAAGAGCCCAGACCGCCAGCCAAGGCCCCAAAAUCAAUGCUCAGUGGUAAAGGAAGUGAAAACGCUCAGACAACCAGGAGGUUGGCUUAGAAGCAGCCAUCCUUCAAAGAAAGCGUAACAGCUCACUGGUCAAGCGGUUUCGCGCCGAAAAUCCAACGGGGCUAAGCAUUGUGCCGAAGCUGCGGAUGGCCUCGCAAGAGGCCGUGGUAGGGGAGCAUUCUCAGGCAGACACAUGCCGUAUCGUGAGAAGCGGUUCAGGGCCUGAGAAGAGAUAAUGCAGGGAUAAGUAGCGAUAAAGGGGGUGAGAAACCCCCUCGCCGUAAGCCAAAGGAUUCCUGGGGAAGGAUCAUCCUCCCAUGGGUUAGUCGGUACCUAAGUCGAGGCCGAAAGGCGUAGAUGAUGGGUAGCAGGCUAAUAUUCCUGCACCACCUCGGUGCGCCAGCUUGAGAGGGGACGGAGAAGGGUAGGCUCGUGCCGGCGGGUUGUUGAGCCGGCUCAAACCUGUAGAGGGGCGUUUCAGGACCCGAAAGGGACAAACGGAGCGCCAUUCAACCUCGAGAGGUGAUGAGGUGGCCGUAUGGCC